This 419-nucleotide ribosomal RNA is filed under the name uncultured bacterium. RNAcentral's name for it is "bacterial SSU rRNA". It matches the Rfam family "Bacterial small subunit ribosomal RNA", at positions 506 to 927 of the family's 1533-position model. The record is from RNAcentral.
AGCCAGCAGCCGCGGUAAUACGGAGGGUGCAAGCGUUAUCCGGAUUCACUGGGUUUAAAGGGUGCGUAGGUGGGUUGGUAAGUCAGUGGUGAAAUCCCCGAGCUUAACUUGGGAACUGCCAUUGAUACUAUCAAUCUUGAAUACUGUGGAGGUCAGCGGAAUAUGUCAUGUAGCGGUGAAAUGCUUAGAUAUGACAUAGAACACCAAUUGCGAAGGCAGCUGGCUACACAAAUAUUGACACUGAGGCACGAAAGCGUGGGGAUCAAACAGGAUUAGAUACCCUGGUAGUCCACGCCCUAAACGAUGGAUACUCGACAUUUGCGAUACACUGCAAGUGUCUGAGCGAAAGCAUUAAGUAUCCCACCUGGGAAGUACGAUCGCAAGAUUGAAACUCAAAGGAAUUGACGGGGGCCCGCACA